CAGCCGCCACGGUAAUACGGAGGGGGCUAGCGUUGUUCGGAAUUACUGGGCGUAAAGCGCACGUAGGCGGUUUGUUAAGUCUGCUGUGAAAUCCCCGGGCUCAACCUGGGAAUGGCAGUGGGUACUGGCAAGCUAGAGUGUGUCAGAGGAUGGUGGAAUUCCCGGUGUAGCGGUGAAAUGCGUAGAGAUCGGGAGGAACAUCAGUGGCGAAGGCGGCCAUCUGGGACAACACUGACGCUGAGGCACGAAAGCGUGGGGAGCAAACAGGAUUAGAUACCCCAGUAGUCCCUGUCUCUUAUAC
RNAcentral lists this ribosomal RNA (301 nucleotides) under uncultured bacterium. RNAcentral describes it as "partial 16S ribosomal RNA". It matches the Rfam family "Bacterial small subunit ribosomal RNA", at positions 509 to 807 of the family's 1533-position model. The record is from RNAcentral.